GACCAAGUCCCGUGCGGCUAAGAAGAGCCCAAUCCCGCCAGGUCCGGAAGGAAGCAACGGUAAGUUCAUGCUUAGGGCGCCACGGCAAACUUGGUCUUU
Molecule: non-coding RNA, 99 nt
Organism: Ignavibacteria bacterium
Lineage: Bacteria; Pseudomonadati; Ignavibacteriota; Ignavibacteria
Source: Rfam